ACGCUGGCGGCGUGCCUAAUACAUGCAAGUAGAACGCUGAAGGAGGAGCUUGCUUCUCUGGAUGAGUUGCGAACGGGUGAGUAACGCGUAGGUAACCUGCCUGGUAGCGGGGGAUAACUAUUGGAAACGAUAGCUAAUACCGCAUAAUAGUAGAUGUUGCAUGACAUUUGCUUAAAAGAUGCAAUAGCAUCACUACCAGAUGGACCUGCGUUGUAUUAGCUAGUUGGUGGGGUAACGGCUCACCAAGGUGACGAUACAUAGCCGACCUGAGAGGGUGAUCGGCCACACUGGGACUGAGACACGGCCCAGACCCCUACGGGAGGCAGCAGUAGGGAAUCUUCGGCAAUGGACGAAAGUCUGACCGAGCAACGCCGCGUGAGUGAAGAAGGUUUUCGGAUCGUAAAGCUCUGUUGUAAGAGAAGAACGAGUGUGAGAGUGGAAAGUUCACACUGUGACGGUAUCUUACCAGAAAGGGACGGCUAACUACGUGCCAGCAGCCGCGGUAAUACGUAGGUCCCGAGCGUUGUCCGGAUUUAUUGGGCGUAAAGCGAGCGCAGGCGGUUAGAUAAGUCUGAAGUUAAAGGCUGUGGCUUAACCAUAGUACGCUUUGGAAACUGUUUAACUUGAGUGCAAGAGGGGAGAGUGGAAUUCCAUGUGUAGCGGUGAAAUGCGUAGAUAUAUGGAGGAACACCGGUGGCGAAAGCGGCUCUCUGGCUUGUAACUGACGCUGAGGCUCAAAAGCGUGGGGAGCAAACAGGAUUAGAUACCCUGGUAGUCCACGCCGUAAACGAUGAGUGCUAGGUGUUAGACCCUUUCCGGGGUUUAGUGCCGCAGCUAACGCAUUAAGCACUCCGCCUGGGGAGUACGACCGCAAGGUUGAAACUCAAAGGAAUUGACGGGGGCCCGCACAAGCGGUGGAGCAUGU
Molecule: ribosomal RNA, 925 nt
Filed under: uncultured bacterium
Lineage: Bacteria
Description: bacterial SSU rRNA
Rfam family: Bacterial small subunit ribosomal RNA
Source: RNAcentral